This 485-nucleotide ribosomal RNA is filed under the name uncultured bacterium. Its description in RNAcentral is "partial 16S ribosomal RNA". It matches the Rfam family "Bacterial small subunit ribosomal RNA", at positions 899 to 1397 of the family's 1533-position model. The record is from RNAcentral.
ACUCAAAUGAAUUGACGGGGGCCCGCACAAGCAGCGGAGCGUGUGGUUUAAUUCGACGCGACGCGCAGCACCUUACCAGGGCUUGACAGGGACCUGCACACCGUGGAAACACGGCUUCCUUCGAGGGUGGUCCACAGAUGCUGCAUGGCUGUCGUCAGCUCGUGCCGUGAGGUGUUGGGUUAAGUCCCGCAACGAGCGCAACCCUCGGCGUCAGUUGGCUCUUUCUGGCGCGACUGCCGGCCGCAAGCCGGAGGAAGGUGAGGAUGACGUCAAGUCCGCAUGGCUCUGACGCCCUGGGCUACACACACGCUACAAUGGCGGCGACAGCGGGCGAUGCCAACCCGCGAGGGGGAGCCAAUCCCUGAAACGCCGCCUCAGUUCGGAUCGGGGGCUGCAACUCGCCCCCGUGAAGCCGGAGUUGCUAGUAACCGCGGGUCAGCACUACCGCGGUGAAUAUGUUCCCGGGCCUUGUACACACCGCCCGU